Long non-coding RNA from Dreissena polymorpha, 1076 nucleotides. RefSeq lists it as uncharacterized. Lineage: Eukaryota; Metazoa; Mollusca; Bivalvia; Myida; Dreissenidae. The transcript is spliced from 3 exons. The record is from RefSeq and is a predicted model, not a curated record.
CCAUGUUAACAUGGCCAUUCCAGCCGAAAUGUGUUUGCUUGUAUGAGAACAUUUGUUUUAGAGAGUAGACGAAUAUUUGUAAAACAUGGCACCUGUGUCAUCUGUGACAAAACGGAUACAAAUGUACUAUUAAAUUAAAUAAAGGGAGAUACUUCAAUUAAAAAACGACGGCCGAUAGAGUUGUGGCGACCUUGACCUCGGAGAUAUUGACGUAAUUCUUUCGAGCGACACACCAUCCAAUGAUGGUGAACAAAUCGAGGGGUUAGAGCCAGAACGUGUGGUUGAAGUGGAGAUUUGAAGCUGAUUGUAGACAACACAAAGAGAAGCCAAUAACCACGUUAGCUAACUCUCAGUAGAGGACCAAAAUACAAGAUGCAAGGCAAAUACUAAAGCACCGAAGAUUUAACAGUAUGCAGUCGAUAAAAUUUUGAUCAACCUUCAACUUAGGUAAGUCUCGGUUAAUCUCUUAAUUUUGUUAUACAAAUUAUGUGACCCUCGAUUUGUGACCAGCUUUUACCUCUGCAUUCACAUUUAAACAACUGCUGUAGAGAAUCACUAUGCAUUUACAACAUAGGCAUCAAUUUACAUAACCUAAGUGACAAGGCGGUUCAGAAUAUAAUAAGUUAUAAGUAGUUUUUGGUCUAUCGAUGUGUUUAAAAGGAUGUUGUCCCUGGAGUGCGGAAUGUAAAGACUCCAGGAUCAUAAUUAACAAGGAUGUUAGUCAAUAUAUAUAAUAUGAAACCUAUUGGCAUUGCAUUUUGAAUGCGCUGAUGUUGAAUAUUAUGUUGAUAUUUAUAAAAUCUAUACAACCCAUGCGACCCUAAACCAUUCAGGCUAUAUUUCAUUUGACUAAGUUAAAGCAAUCAAAGCAUUUAUAGUGUUCAUAAGCUUUUUCUUAUAUUUAACAUGGUAACCUAAGUUUUGAAUACACUUUACUUAGAUUUCAUCUUUGUUGUGAUAUUGUGAUUAUACAAAUUCUUACCAAAUGUGAUCAACAUUUAGUCAUAAGGGUAGCUUCUACAGUUGUUACACCUUUAGCGUAACCUUUAACCUGUUGACCAGGUUUUUUAUAUCAA